Molecule: ribosomal RNA, 140 nt
Filed under: uncultured Actinomycetes bacterium
Lineage: Bacteria; Bacillati; Actinomycetota; Actinomycetes
Description: uncultured actinobacterium partial 16S ribosomal RNA
Rfam family: Bacterial small subunit ribosomal RNA
Source: RNAcentral
ACUCCUACGGGAGGCAGCAGUGGGGAAUAUUGCACAAUGGGCGAAAGCCUGAUGCAGCGACGCCGCGUGGGGGAUGACGGUCUUCGGAUUGUAAACCCCUUUCAGUAGGGACGAAGCGCAAGUGACGGUACCUGCAGAAG